GAGUUUGAUCGUGGCUCAGGAUAAACGCUGGCGGCGUGCCUAACACAUGCAAGUCGAACGCGCUUUGUCUCUCGCAAGAGAGAGGGAGCGAGUGGCGGACGGGUGAGGAACACAUGGGUACCUACCUUGAAGUGAGGGAUACCGGCGAGAAAUCGCCGACAAUACCGCAUAGGCUCUUUGUCGCGAGAGAGAGAGCAAAGUCUUGCGCGCAAGCGGGAGCGCUUUGGGAUGGGCCUGUGGCCGAUUAGCUAGCUGGUGGGGUAACGGCUCACCAGGGCGACGAUCGGUAGCUGGUCUGAGAGGACGAUCAGCCACACUGGGAUUGAGAACGGCCCAGACUCCUACGGGGGGCAGCAGUGAGGAAUUUUCCGCAAUGGACGCAAGUCUGACGGAGCAACGCCGCGUGCAGGACGACGGCCUCGGUUGUAACUAGCUUUCUUGGGGACGAGGACACGGACGGUACCCCGACGGAA
This 473-nucleotide ribosomal RNA is filed under the name uncultured bacterium. Its description in RNAcentral is "bacterial SSU rRNA". It matches the Rfam family "Bacterial small subunit ribosomal RNA", at positions 9 to 489 of the family's 1533-position model. The record is from RNAcentral.